CUGAAUUUAGAUUUAGUAAAUGGUGAUGAUGAUUUGGAUGAAAAUGACUGGGAAUUCAAGGAUGCCUUCUAAGAAGGCACAGUUGGAAAUGGGAAUCCUGAAUUUGAGAUUGUAGAUGCACAUCAAAACUUUUCCGCUGAACUAAAGCUAAAGAAUUUUGUAGGUUUCUACUCUAGAUUGAAAGACGAAGCACGAUUUUUCAUACUUGACCAUCUUGAUGAUCUCAAGAAAGCCAAGAAGGAUGCUGCUCUUUCUAGUGAUGAAGUAAAGGUUAUGGCCUUUGAUAAGGAAAUUCAGUUCACUUUUGGGGGUGUGGUAUUUCUUCCUUAGGAUGCUUCAGUUUAGUAAUUCCAGGUUUGUGCUAGUAAAAGUAUGAAAUACAAUAUACAGGUCACCUAGAACUUCAAUUAUUUUACUUGGGCUAAUGAUGGUUAAUCAUCUACAUUGUUGGAGCUACUUUUGUAGCCUACUUGUGCUGCUGUCUUCAAUGUCACUCAGUUGUCGUAUACCUGGUUGUUUAGUACAUAAGGCUGUGAUCAGGAGUUGAGUAUCAGUUGUUUACUAAUGGGAUCUAUUUUGGGUAGGAUAUGGAUUAAAAGGUUGUGAAUUAAACAAGUUUCUAUUAGGAAGCAUAAUGCUAGUAUUUCAAGUCAGACAUGGACCAGAAUCGGUUCCCAGAGUUGUCCGUACAUCAUCCAACUGGAUUCAAUUAGCUUGAGGAGAGGCUCCUAAUCUGCUUUAAUUUGACAUUUGUUCCGUUUCAGCCAAUGGAGAUAUAUGUGGAUGAUGAGGCCAAGUUGACCUUGCAUGGUCUCGUACAGGUACUCGAUAGUUUCUGA
Molecule: long non-coding RNA, 839 nt
Organism: Magnolia sinica
Lineage: Eukaryota; Viridiplantae; Streptophyta; Magnoliopsida; Magnoliales; Magnoliaceae
Exons: 3
Source: RefSeq, a predicted model, not a curated record